GUGAUGCGUAGCCGUAGCGGCGAAAUCCAUGAUCCUAUGCUGCCGAGAAAAGCCUCUAGCGAGCUGGUACAUGGCCCGUACCCCAAACCGACACAGGUGGUCAGGUAGAGAAUACUAAGGCGAUCGAGAGAACUGUGGUUAAGGAACUCGGCAAAAUGCCCCCGUAACUUCGGGAGAAGGGGGACCAGUCCUGGUGACGACAUUUACUGUCUGAGCUGGGGUUGGUCGCAGAGACCAGAGAGAAGCGACUGUUUACUAAAAACACAGGUCCGUGCGAAGUCGUAAGACGAUGUAUACGGACUGACGCCUGCCCGGUGCUGGAAGGUUAAGAGGACCGGUCAGCCACUUCGGUGGCGAAGCUGAGAAUUUAAGCCCCAGUAAACGGCGGUGGUAACUAUAACCAUCCUAAGGUAGCGAAAUUCCUUGUCGGGUAAGUUCCGACCUGCACGAAUGGCGUAACGACUUCUCUGCUGUCUCAACCACAGACUCGGCGAAAUUGCAGUACGAGUAAAGAUGCUCGUUACGCGCGGCAGGACGAAAAGACCCCGGGACCUUCACUAUAGCUUGGUAUUGGUGUUCGGUUCGGUUUGUGUAGGAUAGGUGGGAGACUGUGAAACUCGCACGCCAGUGUGGGUGGAGUCAUUGUUGAAAUACCACUCUGACCGUAUUGGACAUCUAACCUCGGACCAUGAUCUGGUUCAGGGACAGUGCCUGGUGGGUAGUUUAACUGGGGCGGUUGCCUCCUAAAAAGUAACGGAGGCGCCCAAAGGUUCCCUCAGCCUGGUUGGCAAUCAGGUGUUGAGUGUAAGUGCACAAGGGAGCUUGACUGUGAGACGUACAUGUCGAGCAGGGACGAAAGUCGGGACUAGUGAUCCGGCACCGGCAAGUGGAAGCGGUGUCGCUCAACGGAUAAAAGGUACCCCGGGGAUAACAGGCUGAUCUUCCCCAAGAGUCCAUAUCGACGGGAUGGUUUGGCACCUCGAUGUCGGCUCGUCGCAUCCUGGGGCUGGAGUAGGUCCCAAGGGUUGGGCUGUUCGCCCAUUAAAGCGGCACGCGAGCUGGGUUUAGAACGUCGUGAGACAGUUCGGUCUCUAUCCGCCGCGCGCGUAAGAAACUUGAGGAAACCUGUCCCUAGUACGAGAGGACCGGGACGGACGAACCUCUGGUGUGCCAGUUGUUCCACCAGGAGCACCGCUGGUUAGCUACGUUCGGAAGGGAUAACCGCUGAAAGCAUCUAAGCGGGAAGCCUGUUCCAAGAUGAGGUUUCUCACCACCUAGCGUGGUUAAGGCCCCCCACAGACCAUGGGGUUGAUAGGCCAGAACUGUAAGCACAGCAAUGUGUUCAGGUGACUGGUACUAAUCGGCCGAGGACUUAC
RNAcentral lists this ribosomal RNA (1376 nucleotides) under metagenome. RNAcentral describes it as "bacterial LSU rRNA". It matches the Rfam family "Bacterial large subunit ribosomal RNA", at positions 1563 to 2925 of the family's 2925-position model. The record is from RNAcentral.